GAUGAACGCUGGCGGCGUGCCUAAUACAUGCAAGUCGAGCGAACAGAUGAGGAGCUUGCUCCUCUGACGUUAGCGGCGGACGGGUGAGUAACACGUGGAUAACCUACCUAUAAGACUGGGAUAACUUCGGGAAACCGGAGCUAAUACCGGAUAAUAUAUUGAACCGCAUGGUUCAAUAGUGAAAGACGGUUUUGCUGUCACUUAUAGAUGGAUCCGCGCCGCAUUAGCUAGUUGGUAAGGUAACGGCUUACCAAGGCAACGAUGCGUAGCCGACCUAAGAGGGUGAUCGGCCACACUGGAACUGAGACACGGUCCAGACUCCUACGGGAGGCUGCAGUAGGGAAUCUUCCGCAAUGGGCGAAAGCUUGACGGAGCAACGCCGCGUGAGUGAUGAAGGUCUUCGGAUCGUAAAACUCUGUUAUUAGGGAAGAACAAAUGUGUAAGUAACUAUGCACGUCUUGACGGUACCUAAUCAGAAAGCCACGGCUAACUACGUG
This 497-nucleotide ribosomal RNA is filed under the name uncultured bacterium. RNAcentral describes it as "partial 16S ribosomal RNA". It matches the Rfam family "Bacterial small subunit ribosomal RNA", at positions 28 to 507 of the family's 1533-position model. The record is from RNAcentral.